Molecule: ribosomal RNA, 372 nt
Filed under: uncultured organism
Description: bacterial SSU rRNA
Rfam family: Bacterial small subunit ribosomal RNA
Source: RNAcentral
CAGGGGGGGCAAGCGUUGUUCGGAAUUACUGGGCGUAAAGGGCCAGUAGGCGGCCAACUAAGUCCGACGUGAAAUCCCCAGGCUUAACCUGGGAACUGCGUCGGAUACUGGUUGGCUUGAAUUCGGGAGAGGGAUGCAGAAUUCCAGGUGUAGCGGUGAAAUGCGUAGAUAUCUGGAGGAAUACCGGUGGCGAAGGCGGCAUCCUGGACCGACAUUGACGCUGAACGGCGAAAGCUAGGGGAGCAAACGGGAUUAGAUACCCCGGUAGUCCUAGCCCUAAACGAUGAAUGCUUGGUGUGGCGGUAUCGAUCCCUGCCGUGCCGAAGCUAACGCAUUAAGCAUUCCGCCUGGGGAGUACGGUCGCAAGGCUAG